AUGUGAGAUACGUACUAAUUUAUACCAUGUUGCACUGCAAUGAGAGGCCGUUUUCCAUUGAACGUAACCUACUUUUAAGUUAAUGAGGUUAGUGAAGGUUACGGAUACAUGUUUUGCUAGUAUAUGUUGUCCCAUGGGUCAUUCCAUAAGAUUUUUAUUUUGAUACUUAUUUAUCUUUGACCUAGGUCUUUGCUGACUAUGUUUCAAUGAAAAAUCCAAUUGAUGUUCCCAGAACUUGGUUAUGGCAUCUAGAGAAAAGAAUUGCAUAUUUUGGGGCAGGAGCAUCUUCCAUUUUAAAAGGUUUGUCAGCUAAUGAGAUUGAAGAUUGUUUCCGGAAAUGUUAUGUGUGUGUGAGCAAUUAAUGCAAAGACAGGAGCGCCAAGGCCAUUAUCAUAUAGAUUUCACCGGCAACAACACAAUUGUCAAAGCUAAAAUUGGUAACAAAAUAACCCAGGAUAAUGAAGUUAAGACUGAACAAGACAACUCAAGAAAAAGAAAGAUAACGAAUUAUGUAUUUAUCCAUAAUACUUUUUACUUUUAUUUUUUUAUAUUAAGACUCUUAGUUUUAUGCAUUUUUAAAUAUAAAAUUGUAUGAGAACUGUUGAUGCAAUA
Molecule: long non-coding RNA, 612 nt
Organism: Arachis duranensis
Lineage: Eukaryota; Viridiplantae; Streptophyta; Magnoliopsida; Fabales; Fabaceae
Exons: 3
Source: RefSeq, a predicted model, not a curated record